GCACCCGUAGCUCAAUGGAUAGAGCACCAGACUACGAAUCUGGGGGUUGGAGGUUCGAGUCCUUCCGGGUGCGCCA
RNAcentral lists this transfer RNA (76 nucleotides) under Sediminicoccus rosea. Its description in RNAcentral is "tRNA-Arg". It matches the Rfam family "tRNA". From Rfam's summary of the family: Transfer RNA (tRNA) molecules are approximately 80 nucleotides in length. Their secondary structure includes four short double-helical elements and three loops (D, anti-codon, and T loops). The record is from RNAcentral. RNAcentral also lists the same sequence under 6 other names. Lineage: Bacteria; Pseudomonadati; Pseudomonadota; Alphaproteobacteria; Acetobacterales; Roseomonadaceae.